RNAcentral lists this long non-coding RNA (682 nucleotides) under Rattus norvegicus (Norway rat). RNAcentral describes it as "long non-coding RNA NONRATT020737". The record is from RNAcentral. Lineage: Eukaryota; Metazoa; Chordata; Mammalia; Rodentia; Muridae.
AAAGGCCUUGGCUUGUGGAGGUAAGCUUAACACCACCAACAGUAACCAACAGCUGUGCUGUAUUAAUAAGCACUGUGGACAGAACACAGCUAACUCUGGCUAUAGAGACCCAAAGAUGACUCAUCCAGUCUAGCUAACCUUCAGAUUGUACCCAGAGUUAUGUUGAUGGACGAGAACCCAAGUAAUUGCCAAAAGAGUUAUCAAGACACAGCACUGUAAGUAAAAAAUAUGGUAAGUCCAAGAUAGCCCAAGUCUUAUUAAGUAACUGCUAUGACCAGACAAUAAGCUGAAAGUUGAGAAUUAAUAAAAUAAGGGAAGUCCUUUGUCCUUGAUGAACCUGAUGCAAUUUUUUUUUUUUUUUUGGUUUUUUUUUUUCGGAGCUGGGGACCGAACCCAGGGCCUUGCGCUUCCUAGGCAAGCGCUCUACCACUGAGCUAAACCCCCAACCCCAACCUGAUGCAAUUUAAUGGCUAUGGGUUGCAAGCCUGGAACUCAUUAUGUAGCCCAGACUGGCUUCAGUCCCCUUGAGAUGCUAAGCUCCCUUCACAGAUGAUCCCUAUUGGACUCCACUCUGAUACUUCAAACCUUUGAAGCAGAUGACACACAGGAGAACUCAAAGACAAAUAUCCAAAUGUGGAUCUCAGUACAUGGAGCUACUCAAGCAGGUUACAUGCCAUCUCCC